This 492-nucleotide ribosomal RNA is filed under the name uncultured bacterium. RNAcentral describes it as "partial 16S ribosomal RNA". It matches the Rfam family "Bacterial small subunit ribosomal RNA", at positions 29 to 507 of the family's 1533-position model. The record is from RNAcentral.
AGUGAACGCUGGCGGUAGGCCUAACACAUGCAAGUCGAACGGCAGCACAGUAAGAGCUUGCUCUUACGGGUGGCGAGUGGCGGACGGUUGAGGAAUACCUCGGAAUCUACUUUUUCGUGGGGGCUAACGUAGGGAAACUUACGCUAAUACCGCAUACGACCUACGGGUGAAAGCAGGGGAUCUUCGGACCUUGCGCGAUUGAAUGAGCCGAUGUCGGAUUAGCUAGUUGGCGGGGUAAAGGCCCACCAAGGCGACGAUCCGUAGCUGGUCUGAGAGGAUGAUCAGCCACACUGGAACUGAGACACGGUCCAGACUCCUACGGGAGGCAGCAGUGGGGAAUAUUGGACAAUGGGCGCAAGCCUGAUCCAGCCAUACCGCGUGUGUGAAGAAGGCCUUCGGGUUGUAAAGCCCUUUUGUUGGGAAAGAAAAGCAGCAGGUUAAUACCCCGCUGUUCUGACGGUACCCAAAGAAUAAGCACCGGCUAACUUCGUG